UGAAAUCAGCUGUAGCGACCGAGAUUGACGAAGAAAUACGAGUUUCGAGGAUGCGGAUUACCGUAAAUCGAACGGGUACGAGAUGGACAUGGAGACGAAGCUGAGCAAUUUUCUCUCAAUGACACCAAUGAUAAGGAAUAAUGCACUCAUAAUUGGAAGAAACGUAGAAUGUCGAUGGGCUUAUAAUAUAUGUCAGCGAUGUUCCUGUUCGUCUAUCCCAAGAUUUCUGUGUUCUCAGAUCUUGUAAAUCUUGGACCGUGCUUGCAACGAUCUU
Neodiprion virginianus is the source of this 274-nucleotide long non-coding RNA. RefSeq lists it as uncharacterized. The transcript is spliced from 2 exons. NCBI's taxonomy places the organism in Eukaryota, Metazoa, Arthropoda, Insecta, Hymenoptera, Diprionidae. The record is from RefSeq and is a predicted model, not a curated record.